This 154-nucleotide ribosomal RNA is filed under the name uncultured bacterium. RNAcentral's name for it is "partial 16S ribosomal RNA". It matches the Rfam family "Bacterial small subunit ribosomal RNA", at positions 326 to 507 of the family's 1533-position model. The record is from RNAcentral.
UCCCCCGGGGGGCCUAGGGGAGGCAGCAGUGGGGAAUAUUGGACAAUGGGCGAAAGCCUGAUCCAGCAAUGCCGCAUGAGUGAUGAAGGCCUUAGGGUGUAAAGCUCUUUACCCGGGAUGAGUACCGGGAGAAUAAGCUCCGGCUAACUCCGUG